Molecule: ribosomal RNA, 1463 nt
Filed under: uncultured Bordetella sp.
Lineage: Bacteria; Pseudomonadati; Pseudomonadota; Betaproteobacteria; Burkholderiales; Alcaligenaceae
Description: partial 16S-23S ribosomal RNA intergenic spacer
Rfam family: Bacterial small subunit ribosomal RNA
Source: RNAcentral
GGUUCGGAUUAUGGCCUGAUUGGAACGCUGGCGGGAUGCUUUACACAUGCAAGUCGAACGGCAGCAUGGACUUUAUCUGGUGGCGAGUGGCGAACGGUGAGUAAUGUAUCGGAACGUGCCUAGUAGCGGGGGAUAACUACGCGAAAGCGUAGCCAUCGCAUACGUUCUUCGGGGGAAAGCGGGGGACCUUCUGCCUCGCACUAUUAGAGCGGCCGAUAUCGGAUUAGCUAGUUGCGGGGCAACGGCUCACCAAGGCGACGGAUCCGUAGCUGGUUGGUUUGAGGACGACCAGCCACACUGGGACUGAGACACGGCCUGCAUUCCUACGGAGGCAGCAGUGGGGAAUUUUGACAAUGGGGAAACCCUGAUCCAGCCAUCCCGCGUGUGCGAUGGCGAAGGCUCUCUUACAAAGCACUUUUGGCAGGAAAGAAACGGCACGGAUAAUACCCCGUGCACCGACGGUACCUGCAGAAUAAGCACCGUAUUAACCAUGUGCCAGCAGCCGCGGUAAUACGUAGGUGCAAGCGUUAAUCGAAUUACUGGCGUAAAGCGUGCGCAGGCGGUUCGGAAAGAAAGAUGGAACCCCAGGUUUAACUUUGAACUGCAUUUUUGAACCAAUGAGCUACAGAGGCAUUGUAGGGAGUGGAAUUCCGCGUGUAGCAGUGAAAUGUGGGAUAUGUGUGAGAACACCGAUGGCGAAGGCAGCUUCCUGAUAACACGUUUAUACGAAAGCGGGGGAUAAACAGAUUAGACACCCUGGUAGUCCACGCCCUAAACGUGAUGUCAACUAGCUGUUGGGGCCUUCGGCCUUGGUAGCGCAGCUUAACGCAGAAGUUGACCGCCUGGGAGUACGGGUCGGGAUUAAACUCAAAGGAAUUGAUUUGGACCCGCGCAAGCGGUGGAUGAUGUGGAUGACCUGAUGCAACGCGAAAAACCUUUACCUACCCUUGGAUAUGUCUGGAAUCCCGAAGAGAUUUGGGAGGCUCGUAAGAGAACCGAACACAGGUGCUGCAUGGCUGUCGUCAGCUCGUGUCGUGAGAUGUUGGGUUGGAGUCCCGCAAUUGAAGCAAACCCCUUGUCAUUAGUUGCUACGAAAGGGCACUCUAAUGAGACUGCCGGUGACAAACCGGAGGAAGGUGGGGAUGACGUCAAGUCCUCAUGGCCCUUAUGGGUAGGGUCACACGUCAUACAAUGGUCGGGACAGAGGGUCGCCAACCCGCGAGGGGGAGCCAAUCCCAGAAACCCGAUCGUAGUCCGGAUCGUGUCUGCAACUCGGACUGCGUGAAGUCGGAAUCGCUAGUAAUCGCGGAUCAGCAUGUCGCGGUGAAUACGUUCCCGGGUUCCCAGGCCACCGCCCGUCACACCAUGGGAGUGGGUUUUACCAGAAGUAUUAGGCCUAACCGGCGAGUGGCGCGAUUACCACGGUAGGAUUCAUGACUGGGGGUGAAGUCGUAACAAGGUAG